CGGACCGGCGCACGGGUGAGUAACGCGUAUGCAACUUACCUAUCAGGAGGGGAGAACCCGGCGAAAGUCGGACUAAUACCGCAUAAAGCAGGGAUCCCGCAUGGGAAUAUUUGCUAAAGAUUCAUCGCUGAUAGAUAGGCAUGCGUUCCAUUAGGCAGUUGGCGGGGUAACGGCCCACCAAACCGACGAUGGAUAGGGGUUCUGAGAGGAAGGUCCCCCACAUUGGUACUGAGACACGGACCAA
RNAcentral lists this ribosomal RNA (244 nucleotides) under uncultured bacterium. RNAcentral's name for it is "partial 16S ribosomal RNA". It matches the Rfam family "Bacterial small subunit ribosomal RNA", at positions 91 to 334 of the family's 1533-position model. The record is from RNAcentral.